CCUACGGGGGGCAGCAGUGGGGAAUUUUGGACAAUGGGCGCAAGCCUGAUCCAGCAAUGCCGCGUGCAGGAUGAAGGCCUUCGGGUUGUAAACUGCUUUUGUACGGAACGAAACGGCGAGCUCUAAUACAGUUUGCUAAUGACGGUACCGUAAGAAUAAGCACCGGCUAACUACGUGCCAGCAGCCGCGGUAAU
RNAcentral lists this ribosomal RNA (194 nucleotides) under uncultured bacterium. RNAcentral's name for it is "partial 16S ribosomal RNA". It matches the Rfam family "Bacterial small subunit ribosomal RNA", at positions 338 to 524 of the family's 1533-position model. The record is from RNAcentral.